UUGACGGAGUCUCGCACUGUCGCCCAGGCUGGAGGGCAGUGGCGCCAUCUCGGCUCACUGCAAGCUCCGCCUCCCGGGUUCACUCCAUUUUCCCGCCUCAGCCCUCCGCCACCACGCCCAGCUAAUUGUUUGUAUUUUUAGUAUAGACGGAGAUUUCACCAUGUUAGCCAGGAUGGUCUCGAUUUCCUUACCUCAUGAUCCCCUGCCUCGGCCUCCCAAAGUGCUGGGAUUACAGGCGUGAACCAAGGCGCCCGGCCGGAGUAGGAAUUUUAUGGGUUAUAAACUAAGGAUAUGGAGGUCGACUUGAGGAAGAAACCUGGAGUAUAAAAAUUCAGUUUGGAAAAAGACGUUUUGUCUCUUAAACUGAAGCACAUUCCUGCCAUUCAUUCGGACCAUACGAAGAUAAAACUAAAAACUUUUCUCUAAAGCUCCUGGUGAUGGUAGUUGAGUCAAUGAGCCACCAGCAACAACAAAGGACAAAAAGACUGCCAAAAAGUUCUAUGGCACAAGAAGUUUGAGAACUAGUGCUGUGGAUACCAUCUAUACAGCAAAGCACUAUGCUUCUGACGAUAGACCCUGCUUUCCUAAUUGAUCAAGAGAUAAAUAAGUGAUUCCAGCUGGCUAAAUGUGUGUUGCUGGCAAUAUGUGGCCCCAGGGGAGAGGCAAAAGUGGAGGUUCCCGAGUCAUCUGAGAUUUGUUGCCUCGGAACAGGAUCCACAGCUCAAUAAUAGUCACUGUACUGUCAUUGUUUAUUUGAAAUCUAAAGGUGUAAUGCAAGAAUAUGCAAGACCACAGGGACUGGAGACACAAAGAGCAUCUGAAGAGAGCUUGAAUGACUCCCAACAGUUCCAGUCUCAAAGUUACCAUGUGCAGCACAGUCAGGGCAGCAUGUGAGAAGAACAACAAGAAAGCUGGGGUCUGCCAGAGAAGACGGAAGCCCUCACAUUAAACUGAGUCAGCUGGCAUCUUGAUCUUGGACUUUCAAAUCUCCAGAACUGUGAGAAAUAAAUUAAGGGAAGAGACAGCUUGGAGUCUCCCACGGAUACAUGAAUGCAUCUACCUGGAAAUAAUACAUCACUUCCACUCACGUUUCAUUGGCCGAAGAAUAUCAAGGGGAUGGGGAAGUUCAGUGACCACUCCCUUCCACCCCCACCAUAAACUGAAGGAAGAGAAGAACUGGAAACACAGCUUCAAACAGCAAGCACGCAUAAGAUCCUGGAGUAGUCCCCCGAUUUCCAAUGCAGGAGGUUGCUUGGUGGCAGAGCUCUGCAAGUGUCCAACAGCAGGCAUUCCAUGGAGCCGUGCACUGGCGUGGAGUGCCAGCCAGCGUCUGAUAAAGAAAACGAAGAUACUCUAACGAAGCAGGAAAACUUCCUGGAUGAGGCAGAUCCAUCUCAAGGCUUUGGAUAAAAGGCUGAAGCAGGAGCAAUUGGAUACCACAACAUUAUAAUUUUUUUUUUUUUUUUGCAUUAUUCCUUUUGCUUUUUGCUUACCAUUUUCUUCCCAUGGCACUGAAGUGGAAUAUCCCAAGUGCCACCGAACUCAGAGAACUCCACGCCGGAAUGGGGGUGAGACUGGUGUUGUACCUCUGGCAUAGGAUAAGGAUGGCAGGCACGUAACAUUACGAAAUGUAGGACAAAUUCAAGCGAAAGAGAGGGAGAGGGAGAGAGAGGGGGAGAGGGAGAGCUAGAGACAGAUGGCGGAUCUGGCUAGGAGCCAAAGCCAGUGAAAUGAAUUACAUUGCUGAAUAACUGUACACCAUUGAUUCUGCCACUUGUUGCUGCAUGGUUAAAAAAAUGAAUUUUUAAAAAGCCCCAGUGUAUGCUGGAAUCCCCUUAUUUGUCAUGUGUGCAGCAGACAACUUUCACACGUAACUCCAUCCUGACAAUGAUAUGCUGUGGGUGUCUUGCAUAGGUGUGUAGAUGCGCGUGAAUGUGGUUGCGUGCAUGUAGGUGUGCCCAAGAAAGCAAAUGUGAGUGUGUGUGCAUAUGUAUGUGGGAGGAAGGAAAAACAAUCCCUGCAAUCUAGCCAUUUUUGUUUAAUGAAGAAUGGAGGACUGGCAUUCAGAGAUGUGGUUAUGUGCUGCAUAUUAAUGUGUGCUUACCAGACAUUCUCCCCCACUUUAAAAAUGAGUGGCACAGGAGUGAAGCCCUCUAUAGAUCAACCACGUGGGAGAAGCAACUCAUGAGGUAGCAUGUCAUCUCUAAACCUACAAAUGUGGCACAAGGAAUUCCGCAGAAGAACAAGUUGCUCUCUGACAAGAAGAAAAGCUGGUCCCAGGAAUACGAUGUUUGGGUGUUUUCGAAAAGACAGCCAGUCUCAGCAGAUUGUUCAAUAAAUGCUUCAUACCCAGGAUGAAGGGAGACAUUAUGGGAUGCCCAGGGGGCUUUGGAAAUCAAAUACAAUGUUUGAGUAGCACAAUUUGAGGUACAUUAUAUAAAAGCAAUUUGAAUUGCCAAUGAGGCGACAUAUCUGCAUGCUAAUUAGACCUGUGUCAAGCUUAGUCUGCAGGCUUCUGUUG
This 2521-nucleotide long non-coding RNA is filed under the name Homo sapiens (human). RNAcentral's name for it is "HSALNT0138908". Lineage: Eukaryota; Metazoa; Chordata; Mammalia; Primates; Hominidae. The record is from RNAcentral.